ACCCUCUCAGGACCACACCUGGAGAGUUUUCAGUACUCUACCAGUCUUGGCUAAGGGAGAGAGAGUCAAGCAGAGGCAUAUCCAUUCCAUUCCUGGCUUGGUCAGUGGCUAGCGAGUGAAAGGCAAUCUGCUAAAAGU
Molecule: small nucleolar RNA, 138 nt
Organism: Tachyglossus aculeatus (Australian echidna)
Lineage: Eukaryota; Metazoa; Chordata; Mammalia; Monotremata; Tachyglossidae
Source: RefSeq, a predicted model, not a curated record